AGGCUGCGGGGAGACCACAGGGCGAGCAACAUCCCGGCUCUCUCGACGCCAGGAGACCGCGGCGUGGAAACAUCAGAGGAGGACGCCCUGUGUUCACGCUCUGUCCGGUACCUCCUACUGUGAUGGAGCAAAGCUGGAAGCCAGGAGACUAGGGAGGAGACAACUGUCACAGUCCAAGUGGAUGAAGAAACCGAGUCUCUAAAUACCAUCUCCAUGCUAAAAAUCUCCAAACGUACAUCUCCUGCCGGGAUGUUUCACCUGAACUCAAGCUUGAAUAUCCAGCUGCGACUCGACAUGCCUGAUUGACAACUCAGCCUGCAGGUCUUUGCUCAGAUGUGAAUGUAUCCAAGGCCUUCCUUGACCACCCUGUUUAAAUGAAAAAGACCCUCCCUUCAUCAGCACACCUUGGCCCCCUUCUCUCCAUGGCACCCAUCACCAACUGACAGGAUUGGGUUUGGCUGCAAGUAACAAGUAACAGACUCCAGUGGCUUUGCUGGCUAGAGGUUCCAUUUUUCUUGCGUAAAAUGAAGUCCAGAGGAAGUCCAGAGGUGGACUCGUUCAGGGACAGCACCAAUGACCAACUUCCUUGAAUGCCACUUUGAUGUGAUGAAGGAGCUGAAGCAGCCAUUUUGGACUUCACUGGAAGCUGUGGAAUGAAGAUAGUAGAGCAACCAGAUAGAAGGAACCAGGGUUUCUAGAAUGAACUUGCAGAACUAAACCAGCCCACUUGGACCUUCUACCUCUGUGCUGGAAUUAAAAUUCUGUCCCAUUGAGCCACGCUGCAGCAGCCAUCUUGAAACCAUGAGGACAGCCAUCAAUAAAUUGCUGAGAAUGACAGAGCAGGAAGAUGGAAAGAAUCCGUCUGGCAUAGAGUCAGUGACAGUUCCAUCAGCGGGAAGGUGAAAAUGAAACUGUGUUCCCAGCUCCGGAAAGCAAUCUGCUAUUCAGCAGGAAAAGAUCAAGGGUUAAUGACACGGAGUUGGGCAAAGGCUGCUGCUGUGGCUCUGAGCAUUAUCAGGAGGCGGGAACAAAGAAUCGUUGUUAAAUGGAUUUGUUACAAAAGUUAUUUCCUAAUGUAAUUCAUGAAAUGCUUGUCAGAACAUUAAGCACAUCCUUCGAAAGCACAAGAGAACUUUAAAAAGAAGAAGAAGAAGAAGAAGAAAAACAGAAAGAAAAGCGGCUUCUGAAGUCAAUUACAGAGCUCUUAGAGAGGGUUAAUAUCCUUAAUAUACAAAGAGUUCCUGCAAAACAAUAAGAAAAGGUAAACACCUUAUUAUAAAAUUGACUAUUCACAAGUGAAGAAAUACAAAAGGUGGGCAUAUGUAUGAAACAAGAUCCACUCUGCCAAUAAUCAAGGAAAUGCAAACACAACCUACAAUGAUUUAUCAUUUUCCACCUAUCAGACUGCCAUAAAAUGACUGGGCAUACCACGAUGUUCAGUGGGCAGGUAUUUUAAAGCACUGCAGAAAUCUAAUUUUGCAGCACUUAUCCUAGGGCUGUAAUACGCCAAGCAUUCUCUAUGGACAAAAAUGUUCACUGCAGCAUUAUUUAUCAUAGUGAAAAAUUGGGGAAAAACCCAGAAAUGCCAAACUACAGAGGAUUCAUGAAAUACACAAUAAAAUACUAUAUUAAAAUUAAAUUGUAUUAAAUAAAUAUUAAAAAUUGUAUUAAAAUACUAAUUAAAAUGGCAACAUAGAGAGAUGCCACAACAUAUUGGACAGAAAAAAUUUUUCACACACAUGAUCUAACGUGUACUAAGUUGUAUGUGCAAUUGAAUGACUAUUAAAGAGUGUAUU
Hippopotamus amphibius kiboko is the source of this 1796-nucleotide long non-coding RNA. RefSeq lists it as uncharacterized. The record is from RefSeq and is a predicted model, not a curated record. The transcript is spliced from 8 exons. Lineage: Eukaryota; Metazoa; Chordata; Mammalia; Artiodactyla; Hippopotamidae.